CCAAGUUUUUAAGGGCGCACGGUGGAUGCCUUGGCACCAGGAACCGAUGAAGGACGUGGGAGGCCGCGAUAGGCCCCGGGGAGCUGUCAACCGAGCUUUGAUCCGGGGGUGUCCGAAUGGGGAAACCCGGCAGUCGUCAUGGGCUGUCACCCGCUGCUGAACACAUAGGCAGUGUGGAGGGAACGCGGGGAAGUGAAACAUCUCAGUACCCGCAGGAAGAGAAAACAACCGUGAUUCCGGGAGUAGUGGCGAGCGAAACUGGAUGAGGCCAAACCGUAUGUGUGUGAUACCCGGCAGGGGUUGCGCAUGCGGGGUUGUGGGAUCUCUCUUUCAUGGUCUGCCGGCCAUGAGACGAGUCAGAAACCGUUGAUGUAGGCGAAGGACAUGCGAAAGGUCCGGCGUAGAGGGUAAGACCCCCGUAGCUGAAACAUUAGCGGCUCGUUUGAGAGACACCCAAGUAGCACGGGGCCCGAGAAAUCCCGUGUGAAUCUGGCGGGACCACCCGCUAAGCCUAAAUAUUCCCUGGUGACCGAUAGCGGAUAGUACCGUGAGGGAAUGGUGAAAAGUACCGCGGGAGCGGAGUGAAAUAGUACCUGAAACCGUGUGCCUACAAGCCGUGGGAGCGUCGCGUUGCAUGCUUGCAUGCAACGUCGUGACUGCGUGCCUUUUGAAGAAUGAGCCUGCGAGUUUGCGGUGUGUUGCGAGGUUAACCCGUGUGGGGAAGCCGUAGCGAAAGCGAGUCCGAAUAGGGCGGUUUAGUAGCGCGCUCAAGACCCGAAGCGGAGUGAUCUAGCCAUGGGCAGGUUGAAGCGGAGGUAAGACUUCGUGGAGGACCGAACCCACCAGGGUUGAAAACCUGGGGGAUGACCUGUGGUUAGGGGUGAAAGGCCAAUCAAACUCCGUGAUAGCUGGUUCUCCCCGAAAUGCAUUUAGGUGCAGCGUCGUGUGUUUCUUGCCGGAGGUAGAGCACUGGAUAGGCGAUGGGCCCUACCGGGUUACUGACCUUAGCCAAACUCCGAAUGCCGGUAAGUGAGAGCGCGGCAGUGAGACUGUGGGGGAUAAGCUCCAUGGUCGAGAGGGAAACAGCCCAGAGCAUCGACUAAGGCCCCUAAGCGUACGCUAAGUGGGAAAGGAUGUGGAGUCGCAGAGACAACCAGGAGGUUGGCUUAGAAGCAGCCACCCUUGAAAGAGUGCGUAAUAGCUCACUGGUCAAGUGAUUCCGCGCCGACAAUGUAGCGGGGCUCAAGCGUACCGCCGAAGUCGUGUCAUUGCAGUAGAUACCCCCAACGGGGACUGUGAUGGGUAGGGGAGCGUCGUGUGCCGGGUGAAGCAGCCGCGGAAGCGAGUUGUGGACGGUUCACGAGUGAGAAUGCAGGCAUGAGUAGCGAUACACACGUGGGAAACGUGUGCGCCGAUUGACUAAGGGUUCCUGGGUCAAGCUGAUCUGCCCAGGGUAAGUCGGGACCUAAGGCGAGGCCGACAGGCGUAGUCGAUGGACAACCGGUUGAUAUUCCGGUACCCGCUUUGAAACGCCCAAUAUCGAAUCCAUUAAUGCUAAGGCCGUGAAGCCGCCCUGGAUCCUUCGGGUGAAGGGGAGUGGUGGAGCCGCUGACCCAAGGUGGUAGUAGGUAAGCGAUGGGGUGACGCAGGAAGGUAGUCCAGCCCGGGCGGUGGUAGUCCCGGGGUAAGGGUGUAGGCCGUGUGAUAGGCAAAUCCGUCACACGUUAAGGCUGAGACCUGAUGCCGAGCCGAUUGUGGUGAAGUGGAUGAUCCUAUGCUGUCGAGAAAAGCCUCUAGCGAGUUUCAUGGCGGCCCGUACCCUAAACCGACUCAGGUGGUCAGGUAGAGAAUACCGAGGCGUUCGGGUGAACUAUGGUUAAGGAACUCGGCAAAAUGCCCCCGUAACUUCGGGAGAAGGGGGGCCACGUCUGGUGAUCGGAUUUACUCCGUGAGCUGGGUGUGGCCGCAGAGACCAGCGAGAAGCGACUGUUUACUAAAAACACAGGUCCGUGCGAAGCCGUAAGGCGAUGUAUACGGACUGACGCCUGCCCGGUGCUGGAACGUUAAGGGGACCGGUUAGCUUGGAUUCGUCCAGGCGAAGCUGAGAACUUAAGCGCCAGUAAACGGCGGUGGUAACUAUAACCAUCCUAAGGUAGCGAAAUUCCUUGUCGGGUAAGUUCCGACCUGCACGAAUGGCGUAACGACUUCUCGACUGUCUCAACCAUAGGCCCGGUGAAAUUGCACUACGAGUAAAGAUGCUCGUUUCGCGCAGCAGGACGGAAAGACCCCGGGACCUUUACUACAGCUUGAUAUUGGUGUUCGGUUCGGCUUGUGUAGGAUAGGUGGGAGACUGUGAAGCAUGCACGCCAGUGUGUGUGGAGUCGUCGUUGAAAUACCACUCUGGUCGUGCUGGAUGUCUAACCUGGGUCCGUGAUCCGGAUCAGGGACAGUGUCUGGUGGGUAGUUUAACUGGGGCGGUUGCCUCCUAAAGGGUAACGGAGGCGCCCAAAGGUUCCCUCAGCCUGGUUGGCAAUCAGGUGUUGAGUGUAAGUGCACAAGGGAGCUUGACUGUGAGACCGACGGGUCGAGCAGGGACGAAAGUCGGGACUAGUGAUCCGGCGGUGGCUUGUGGAAGCGCCGUCGCUCAACGGAUAAAAGGUACCCCGGGGAUAACAGGCUGAUCUUCCCCAAGAGUCCAUAUCGACGGGAUGGUUUGGCACCUCGAUGUCGGCUCGUCGCAUCCUGGGGCUGGAGUCGGUCCCAAGGGUUGGGCUGUUCGCCCAUUAAAGCGGUACGCGAGCUGGGUUUAGAACGUCGUGAGACAGUUCGGUCCCUAUCCGCUGUGCGCGUAGGAGUCUUGAGAAGGGCUGUCCCUAGUACGAGAGGACCGGGACGGACGAACCUCUGGUGUGCCAGUUGUUCUGCCAAGGGCAUGGCUGGUUGGCUACGUUCGGGAGGGAUAACCGCUGAAAGCAUCUAAGCGGGAAGCCUGCUUCGAGAUGAGGACUCCCACCCACUUGAUGGGGUAAGGCUCCCAGUAGACGACUGGGUUGAUAGGCCAGAUAUGGAAGCCGGGUAACCGGUGGAGUUGACUGGUACUAAUAGGCCGAGGGCUUGUCCUC
This 3122-nucleotide ribosomal RNA is filed under the name Streptomyces lilacinus. RNAcentral's name for it is "bacterial LSU rRNA". It matches the Rfam family "Bacterial large subunit ribosomal RNA". The record is from RNAcentral. Lineage: Bacteria; Bacillati; Actinomycetota; Actinomycetes; Kitasatosporales; Streptomycetaceae.